RNAcentral lists this ribosomal RNA (255 nucleotides) under uncultured bacterium. RNAcentral describes it as "partial 16S ribosomal RNA". It matches the Rfam family "Bacterial small subunit ribosomal RNA", at positions 99 to 354 of the family's 1533-position model. The record is from RNAcentral.
CGGACGGGUGAGUAACGCGUGGAAAACCUGCCGUAUACUGGGGGAUAACACUUAGAAAUAGGUGCUAAUACCGCAUAAGCGCACAGCUUCGCAUGAAGCGGUGUGAAAAACUCUGGUGGUGUACGAUGGUUCCGCGUCUGAUUAGCUAGUUGGUGGGGUAAUGGCCUACCAAGGCAACGAUCAGUAGCCGGCCUGAGAGGGUGAACGGCCACAUUGGGACUGAGACACGGCCCAAACUCCUACGGAAGGCAGCAG